CAGCAGCCACGGUAAUACGAAGGGGGCUAGCGUUGUUCGGAAUUACUGGGCGUAAAGGGCGCGUAGGCGGCCAUUCAAGUUAGAUGUGAAAGCCCUGGGCUCAGCCUAGGAAUUGCAUUUGAUACUGUUUGGCUUGAGUUCGGGAGAGGUGAGUGGAAUUCCCAGUGUAGAGGUGAAAUUCGUAGAUAUUGGAAAGAACACCGGUGGCGAAGGCAGCCCCCUGGGCCAAUACUGACGCUCAUGCACGAAAGCGUGGGGAGCAAACAGGAUUAGAUACCCCUGUAGUCCCUGUCUCUUAUAC
RNAcentral lists this ribosomal RNA (301 nucleotides) under uncultured bacterium. RNAcentral's name for it is "partial 16S ribosomal RNA". It matches the Rfam family "Bacterial small subunit ribosomal RNA", at positions 509 to 807 of the family's 1533-position model. The record is from RNAcentral.